Molecule: long non-coding RNA, 587 nt
Organism: Varroa destructor (honeybee mite)
Lineage: Eukaryota; Metazoa; Arthropoda; Arachnida; Mesostigmata; Varroidae
Source: RefSeq, a predicted model, not a curated record
ACAAAAAAAACGAACAUUGGGAUGAGGCUAAGCCAACGGCUGGUCAACUGGCAGCGGAACAUGACAGACGGAUGGGCAUACUAGAUCGCCUGAAAGCUAACUCCUACGCAGAGAGCAGCUGCGGGAAAACCCGCCAAGUAUACCUCUUCAGACAUACAAUCGAACAGAUUUGUUUGUGUUUGAUUAAGCUGUCGAUUCAACUGCUGUCGAUUCAACUGCCGUCGUCAAUACGUUAGUGGCAUUAGAACAGCUGUGUAUGAAGCUAUCGGCAUCGUUGAAAGUGCCAGGUUGGUUUGUAUAUCCGAAGUAAAGCAAAAUGAAAAUACGGAUGCGAAAAGUGGCAAUACCUCGAUCUGUAAUUAGCUUCAGGCCAGAGUCAGCUGCCAAAUAAAGUCAACCGUAUCUAUUUCCGUAGUAUCAGGAAAAGCCCUGUUUCUGCAACGAACAAAAGGCGUCGCCGUUACAACGAUAGAAGAACAAGUAAACUAACUACCAGUUGAACAUGAAGCGAGUCAUUACCUGAAUGAAGUGCCAUUACAACUCAUGCGAACGACACCAUUUAAGUAUCACGUAAAUGUUAAGUGACG